CUUUAAUCAGGUGCUAUAGCUGAGGAGAUGGGAGCUCAGUCUCAAAUCCAUCUCCCUGACUGACUAAAACCAGGAGUUUAUAUAGCAGUGCUUAAAACAAUACUUUAAGAAAUGUUCAAUAUUCCACGAGAACAAUAUCCACGUGACAUGAAAAGAAAAGUCUAAGUUGAUUCCUGGAAGCUGGGAAAGUCUCAUUCCAGUAACUGCUUAAUAUCCCCCGUCAGUCUUCUUCAAAGGCUGAAGCCAGCCUCUGACUGAAGCGCAGCCUCAAUCU
Symphalangus syndactylus (siamang) is the source of this 274-nucleotide long non-coding RNA. RefSeq lists it as uncharacterized. The record is from RefSeq and is a predicted model, not a curated record. Lineage: Eukaryota; Metazoa; Chordata; Mammalia; Primates; Hylobatidae.